CGUAGGGACCGAGCGUUGUCCGGAUUCAUUGGGCGUAAAGAGCUCGUAGGCGGCCACUCAAGUCGAAUGUGAAACCUCGAGGCUUAACCUCGAGCCUGCAUUCGAUACUGGGCGGCUAGAGUCUGGUAGGGGGAUCUGGAAUUCCUGGUGUAGCGGUGGAAUGCGCAGAUAUCAGGAGGAACACCGGUGGCGAAGGCGGGAUCCUGGGCCAGUACUGACGCUGAGGAACGAAAGCGUGGGGAGCAAACAGGAUUAGAUACCCUGGUAGUCCACGCCGUAAACGAUGGGCGCUAGGUGUGGGAGGUCAUCGACUCCUUCCGUGCCGCAGCUAACGCAUUAAGCGCCCCGCCUGGGGAGUACGGCCGCAAGGCUA
This 373-nucleotide ribosomal RNA is filed under the name uncultured organism. Its description in RNAcentral is "bacterial SSU rRNA". It matches the Rfam family "Bacterial small subunit ribosomal RNA", at positions 526 to 896 of the family's 1533-position model. The record is from RNAcentral.